This 504-nucleotide ribosomal RNA is filed under the name uncultured delta proteobacterium. RNAcentral's name for it is "bacterial SSU rRNA". It matches the Rfam family "Bacterial small subunit ribosomal RNA", at positions 548 to 1050 of the family's 1533-position model. Lineage: Bacteria; Deltaproteobacteria. The record is from RNAcentral.
GAUUUACUGGGCGUAAAGCGCAUGUAGGCGGUUUUGUAAGUCUGAUGUGAAAGCCCCGAACUCAAUUUGGGAAGUGCAUUGGAUACUGCAAGACUAGAGUAUAGGAGAGGUCGACGGAAUUUCUGGUGUAGAGGUGAAAUUCGUAGAUAUCAGAAGGAACAACAGAGGCGAAGGCGGUUGACUGGACUAUAACUGACGCUGAGAUGCGAAAGUGUGGGGAGCAAACAGGAUUAGAUACCCUGGUAGUCCACACCGUAAACGAUGGAUACUAGAUGUCGGAGGUUCUUACCCCUCCGGUAUCGAAGCUAACGCGUUAAGUAUCCCGCCUGGGAAGUACGGCCGCAAGGUUAAAACUCAAAGAAAUUGACGGGGGCCCGCACAAGCGGUGGAUUAUGUGGUUUAAUUCGAUGCAACGCGCAAAACCUUACCUAGGCUUGACAUCCCACGCUAUCCGGUGAAAGUCGGAGUUCCCUUCGGGGACGUGGAGACAGGUGCUGCAUGGCU